This is a long non-coding RNA of Acanthochromis polyacanthus (spiny chromis), 2104 nucleotides long. RefSeq lists it as uncharacterized. NCBI's taxonomy places the organism in Eukaryota, Metazoa, Chordata, Actinopteri, Pomacentridae. The transcript has 6 exons. The record is from RefSeq and is a predicted model, not a curated record.
CUACAGUAGCCCAGAUACUGCAGGCCAAAGACAUCGAAGGUGAGAGUCCAAGCUGGACCUGUUUCAACUGUGGUGUGAUUUGUCUCAUUGAGGAUGAAUCCAGGCGUUCCUAUUUCCUGCGUCUCUACUGUGUCAAGGUAAGAGGAACUAUCAAACUGCUCAGAGUUACUCCACCCGCUCAGAUCUACACACAGCGAUACGUGCACACCACUUCCCAGUUCAUUUUGUUCUCUUGGCUUUUCUGUGUGUCUACUAGAACAGUUGCUCACGUAGGACGGCUUGAAGUGUUUCCUCUAACUUUCAGCGUUCCUCAUUAACAAUAGAAAGUCUUAUGAUGAUGGGUGUGCCUGGUUCUUUACCUUGUGUGACUCUAACAGCUGUUCAUAAACACCAUUCCCUACAUCCUGACCUCAUCUACCCUCAUACACAGCGAGCCAAGUUACUGUGGGAGCAGGAGUUGUACAUUCCUUUCACGUACACUGCAGCUCGCACAUUCUUCCACACGUUUCCUGCAGAGGGCAAACAGAUGGGCCUCAACUUUGCAAAUGAGAUCGAGGCAGAAGAAUUUUAUCUUGCAGUUGAGGCAGCACACGGUCAGAAUAUCAACAAACAGAUGUGUGCCAGCAGAUGUAAAAUCUGUAUAUGGUCUCUUCACAUGACAGAAGAUCAAAAGAAAAAAUGAUCAGCAUGAUUGCCAUAGCAAAUGUGAAAACAGCCUCAACAAGUGACCCACCUCAUUUAGGAUCUGAAGCUGCUGAAAGUUUGGAUGAGGAGAAAUAUUUCCUCAUGGAUGCACUUUCCACCACAGUUCCUCCAACCACAAGCUCAUUUAAGGACCUGGAUCCUGCUAUGAGUAGGCUGUUAAUGCAGGCAAGACUCACUGAAGAAGACCUUAAAGACAAGGACAUUGCUGAGGCUGCUGACCAUAUCAUCAGCCAGUUUGGAGGACUGAAGGCUGUGCAGCAAGAGCUGAGCAACAGAGGUUCUGUGUCUCAGACAUUGCCAAGAGCUGCAGGGGCGUCCAUCUCCCCGACUCUGAAGAAAGGACCUUUGCCACCGUCCCCUCCAUUAAAGAUAGUAGGAGGGGGAGGAAAGGAAUGAGGGAGACAGAGAAAAGGGGAGAAAAUUAGAGGGGAUUAGGGUAGUAGAAGUGGGGUUACAGAAGAUGAAUGGGGAAGGGAGGCUGGGAAACAAGAGGAAAAUGAAAUGGGGUCUGGUUGGAGGAGCCAGAUUAAAGGGUAAUAGAGGUGAGAUGGAGAGCGAAGGGAUGAGGGUUGGAGGGGAUGAUGGAAGGAGGGUGGAGUGAUGAAAAUGAGAGACAGAAGAAGGAUGGCAGAGAGGAUAGGGAAGACAAAGACCUGAAAUCCCUUUGUAGCAGGUCCAGUAAUUCUGGAAAAAUCUUAACUUACUGUUGAAGGUAUUUAUGUCCUUUACUGGAAGGCUGUGCAACCUUCAACUAAAAGAAUAUUUUAAAAGACACUCUGAGGAUGUAAUAUUUGGGGAUUUGCACCAUGUAAGCACACAUGAAAAAAGAAAUACCUGGUUCCAUGGGAGGUAGGAGGGGUCAAGGCCACCUCUGAAAUCUCACUGGGCCAUGCCAGAUCUAAAGGGGUCCACUUCAUUAACUAAACUCCAAUGUCCAAUUUAGAAAUUAAUAUAAAAAUGUAAAAUAAAUUGAACCUUAAAAAAGCUUGUCCCUAUGGAAUCUGCAACAUUUGUUGGGUUUUAAUGUAUAUUUCUGUAAGUUUGUAGCUUUUGCUCUGUGUUCAUUGAGGUUAAUCUCCAUGAUAAUAUUAACACUGUAAGGAAUUGUAGUAAAUGCUGAAGUAAUUUUAUCUUUAACUUGGCCUCACCAUUGCCAUGGCCUGGUUUUGCUGCACUCUGCAUUAUCUGCAUUCCUCUGUUAAGGAGUCCCUAUUAUCUUCAUGAGAAAGAUAAGAGUAUAAUGUUUGAAGGACGAAAACUACAUGACACGUAUUGUGUUGUUUGAUUCAUUGGUCAGAUCUCCAAACACUAAACUGGUGUAUGAGCUCUGCCCUGCCAGCUGAAAUAUGUACUCUGUAUUUCUCUAUUUCAUUUUCCUCUAUUUAGUUUAAUAAUAAUA